GGGCGGAUGGGGCAGCUCACCAUCUCCUUGCUGCCACCGCUGUGGGAAGAGCUGACAACUUCCCCAGCCUGUGCCCUCCCAGCCCAGAAGGGACCCCAAGCCUCCAUCCCAAACCUUCGGAGCACCCGCUGGACCAUCUCCCAUAGCCAAGGAGCACCUCAUCAGCACUGUCACCUUUACCAAGAAAACUUGCAAUCAAAUCAAAAAGAUACCAACUCAGCCUGACGAGGAGGAGAGAACCUUAGCCCUCCAUCUCGCCAGCCCAGCAAUCACAGCGAUGAGCCAAGUAUCUCUGGACAGUCUUUAAUUUAUUUCCCGGCGCACACGGACACUGCUGAGAGACUUGAUGGCACCAGCUUAAACAUAAUAAAUUACUCAAGUAUCA
Long non-coding RNA from Pseudopipra pipra, 385 nucleotides. RefSeq lists it as uncharacterized. The transcript is spliced from 2 exons. Lineage: Eukaryota; Metazoa; Chordata; Aves; Passeriformes; Pipridae. The record is from RefSeq and is a predicted model, not a curated record.